Long non-coding RNA from Drosophila santomea, 727 nucleotides. RefSeq lists it as uncharacterized. The record is from RefSeq and is a predicted model, not a curated record. The transcript has 2 exons. Lineage: Eukaryota; Metazoa; Arthropoda; Insecta; Diptera; Drosophilidae.
UUAAUGCUAUCUCUGACUUUUAUAUCGAAAUCGGACAAAAACUGAGUAUGUUUUUCACACAGGCUCUGCCCAAAAAGAAAGAGAUUCACAUUUUUUAAUGUUAUUCAUGUCAUUCCAUAUAAAAGAAGUGGAUUAAGUGGCCAGCAUUUUUUAAUAUUUUGCUAUCCGUAGCUGCGUGACAACGAUCCUGAAAUAAAUAUUGAACAAUAUGAAAAGAGAAGAUGCCUUAAACAUGUGGAAAUCCUAACUGCUGCAAUACACAGACGGCUGCCUUUGACGGGCAGAUUUUAUUUGAAGUGUACAGUAAACAGCCAAAGUUUCCCAUCCACUAAUUGAAUAAGUUAGUUUUCCGGAACGGAACAUGCGGUUAUAGUUGGCUUCCUCUGGUUCGGUGGAGUGGAGUGGAAUGGAAUGGAUUCCCCGUGGCACGAAAUGUUGCACACAGCGAUGGCUUAACUUUUCGACUUCCAUUUAUUUGCAAACACACACUCAUCAUCAUUUGGGCCUGCCUGGCCGUGCCGAAAUACCAUUAAAAUCACAUUUCGAUUUAAUUUGCAUAAAUUGAAGUCGAGGCGCAGGCCAGUGGAAAAUGAAGCCGAAUGGCAAAUGGCAAAAUGGCAGUCUAAACAUGCACUAAAGCGCCAUUCAAAAUCGAUUCGAAAUCAAUUAGUGAGUGAUUUGCAAUAUAUAAUAUAUUAAAUGAAAUGCUUAGCCACUGUGAAGUAAA